RNAcentral lists this ribosomal RNA (253 nucleotides) under uncultured bacterium. RNAcentral describes it as "partial 16S ribosomal RNA". It matches the Rfam family "Bacterial small subunit ribosomal RNA", at positions 524 to 776 of the family's 1533-position model. The record is from RNAcentral.
UACAGAGGUCCCGAGCGUUGUUCGGAUUCACUGGGCGUAAAGGGUGCGUAGGUGGUGACGUAAGUCGGAUGUGAAAUCUCGGAGCUCAACUCCGAAACGGCAUUGGAAACUGCGUUGCUAGAGGGUUGGAGGGGGGACUGGAAUGCUUGGUGUAGCAGUGAAAUGCGUAGAUAUCAAGCGGAACACCAGUGGCGAAGGCGGAUCUCUGGACAGUUCCUGACGCUGAGGCGCGAAGGCCAGGGGAGCAAACGGG